Molecule: non-coding RNA, 24 nt
Filed under: Arabidopsis thaliana (thale cress)
Lineage: Eukaryota; Viridiplantae; Streptophyta; Magnoliopsida; Brassicales; Brassicaceae
Source: RNAcentral
GGUUCGUUGGCCUCAAUCUGCUCC